RNAcentral lists this ribosomal RNA (327 nucleotides) under uncultured eukaryote. Its description in RNAcentral is "partial 18S ribosomal RNA". It matches the Rfam family "Eukaryotic small subunit ribosomal RNA", at positions 1470 to 1796 of the family's 1831-position model. The record is from RNAcentral.
CCCUUAGAUGUUCGGGGCUGCACACGCGCUACACUGGAGGAAACAGCGUGUAUUGUCCUGGUCCGAAAGGACUGGGUAAACCUGUGAAACUUCUCCGUGCUUGGGAUAGCGGAUUGAAAUUGUUUCGCUUCAACGAGGAAUUCCUAGUAAGCGUAAGUCAUAAGCUUGCGCUGAUUACGUCCCUGCCCUUUGUACACACCGCCCGUCGCUCCUACCGAUUGAGUGGUCCGGUGAGGCUUUGGGAUCUGAGCGGAAAGAGCGUUUCGCUGUUUCUGCUCGGAAAACUCAGUCGAACCUUAUCAUUUAGAGGAAGGAGAAGUCGUAACA